Emys orbicularis (European pond turtle) is the source of this 526-nucleotide long non-coding RNA. RefSeq lists it as uncharacterized. The transcript has 2 exons. The record is from RefSeq and is a predicted model, not a curated record. Lineage: Eukaryota; Metazoa; Chordata; Testudines; Emydidae.
UGAAAGUGUUCUUAAAAUGAACAACAUGUGCUGGGUCAUCAUCCGGGACUGCUGUAACAUGAAAUAUAUGGCAGAAUGCAGAGCAUCAUCAGCAUGGAAGCAUGUCCUCUGGAAUGAUGGCCGAAGCAUGAAGGGGCAUAAGAAUGUUUAGCAUAUCUGGCAUGUAAAUACCUUGCAAUGCCAGCCACAAAAGUGCCAUGCAAACGCCUGUUCUCACUUUAAGGUAACAUUGUAAAUACGAAGUGGGCAGUAUUAUGUCCUGUAAAUGUAAACAAACUUGUUUGUCUUAGCUUUUGGCUGACCAAGAAGUAGAGCCUACAAGUCCACUCAGUCCUAAAGUUUUACAUUGUUUUUGAGUGCAGUUAUGUAACAAACAAAAAAAUCUACAUUUGUAAGUUGCACUUUCAUGAUAAAGAGAAUGACAACAGUAUUUGUAUGAGGUGACUUGAAAAAUACCAUUUCUUUAUUUAUCAUUUUUACAGUGUAAAAAUUUGUAUUAAAAAUAAUAAUAAUAUAAAGUGAGCAC